ACAAACAGAGGCAGGUGUCACAGGGUCUUUCUAUUGGCUCCAGAAGUGAUCCAGAGAUUCUCCCUUGCAGGAAUUCUUGGCAGGAGCAGAGAUUUGAGAGCUGUGUGGGAAGAAGUUUCCAGCCUGGCUGCUGAGCUUGGUGCACUGCAAGUGGCAGGCAGAGACAACUUUAACUUCCUUGCUUGGAGCCUCAUCCAGCCUGACCUUGAGUGAUUGCAGGGACAGGACAGCCAAAACUUCUCUGGGCAACCUGUUCUGCCAGAUAAAAACACAAAUCACUUUAUCCAUGGAUAAAACAUGCUGCCCUACAAAGAGAUCAUUUCCUCUCCAAAUCCAGUGGUUGCCCAGACAAAAUCAUCUCAGAAACACCACAAAAAUAAUGAGAUGUAGCUGAAUACAAGGAGAGAACUCGAG
Molecule: long non-coding RNA, 414 nt
Filed under: Parus major (Great Tit)
Lineage: Eukaryota; Metazoa; Chordata; Aves; Passeriformes; Paridae
Description: lncRNA (ENSPMJG00000010820.1)
Source: RNAcentral